UACAGCAAUUAAAAACUGGAAAGAUCUUAAGGACUAUUUGGAAAAAAAUUGGGAUGUAAGGGAUGGUUUAUUUAGACGCCCUAGGGGUCUCUGGGCAGUUAACAGGGGAGUUCUAAGAACUAUUUCUCUCCUAACUAAGGCCACAUGAUAUGGGGUGGGGGUUCCUACUAGCACCCUAUGUGGUGGGCCCGCUGUGUGUCUCAUUUCUGGCUCGGCUUUCCUUCUCCCGGCGGUCUCUUGCAUCUUCCCUGGGCCGGCUGCUUCCUUGGUGGGACUGUUCCUGGCGCCCGUCUCCAUGUCUUGCUUCGGCCUCGGCUCUGUCCUGAAUGGUUCCGCUGCGCCCACAAUGCACGUCAUCGUGCGCCGCCUCAGUCUCCACCGCAGUCGUCUGCUGCCAGAGUACGCCAGUCCUGCUUUGAUGUACUGCUAUCUCGCCAAGGCCACAGGUGGAAGAGCAGAGGAGCUUUGCUUUGUCUUUAAUUAGCAGAAGCCAUGGGAAUUGCAUACCUAUUUACAAUUAGUGCGGAGUUUUGUGCAGCACCUUGCAAAAUCCAUCAGAAACGUUUGCAUAUUGAAGAAUUCUAACAAUAAUUGAAAACACCAUGCUUCCUCCAAGGCGAUAUCAAAGCACAACAGAGAAAAAAACCCUCCUCGAAAAAACAAAGCUCACCUCCCACAGAGCAGAGCGAACCCAUAGGUCACCAGGCCACAGCCCGGAACUCCCAGCAGUAUUU
Molecule: long non-coding RNA, 734 nt
Organism: Gekko japonicus
Lineage: Eukaryota; Metazoa; Chordata; Lepidosauria; Squamata; Gekkonidae
Exons: 4
Source: RefSeq, a predicted model, not a curated record